AGUGAACGCUGGCGGUAGGCCUAACACAUGCAAGUCGAACGGCAGCACAGUAAGAGCUUGCUCUUACGGGUGGCGAGUGGCGGACGGGUGAGGAAUACAUCGGAAUCUACUUUUUCGUGGGGGAUAACGUAGGGAAACUUACGCUAAUACCGCAUACGACCUACGGGUGAAAGCAGGGGAUCUUCGGACCUUGCGCGAUUGAAUGAGCCGAUGUCGGAUUAGCUAGUUGGCGGGGUAAAGGCCCACCAAGGCGACGAUCCGUAGCUGGUCUGAGAGGAUGAUCAGCCACACUAGAACUGAGACUCGGUCCAGACUCCUACGGGAGGCAGCAGUGGGGAAUAUUGGACAAUGGGCGCAAGCCUGAUCCAGCCAUACCGCGUGGGUGAAGAAGGCCUUCGGGUUGUAAAGCCCUUUUGUUGGGAAAGAAAAGCAGCAGGUUAAUACCCCGCUGUUCUGACGGUACCCAAAGAAUAAGCACCGGCUAACUUCGUG
RNAcentral lists this ribosomal RNA (492 nucleotides) under uncultured bacterium. RNAcentral's name for it is "partial 16S ribosomal RNA". It matches the Rfam family "Bacterial small subunit ribosomal RNA", at positions 29 to 507 of the family's 1533-position model. The record is from RNAcentral.